RNAcentral lists this ribosomal RNA (482 nucleotides) under uncultured bacterium. RNAcentral's name for it is "partial 16S ribosomal RNA". It matches the Rfam family "Bacterial small subunit ribosomal RNA", at positions 30 to 507 of the family's 1533-position model. The record is from RNAcentral.
AUUGAACGCUGGCGGCAUGCUUUACACAUGCAAGUCGAACGGUAACAGGCCGCAAGGUGCUGACGAGUGGCGAACGGGUGAGUAAUGCAUCGGAACGUGCCCAGUCGUGGGGGAUAACUACUCGAAAGAGUAGCUAAUACCGCAUGCGAUCUAUGGAUGAAAGCGGGGGACCGUAAGGCCUCGCGCGAUUGGAGCGGCCGAUGUCGGAUUAGGUAGUUGGUGGGGUAAAGGCUCACCAAGCCAACGAUCUGUAGCUGGUCUGAGAGGACGACCAGCCACACUGGGACUGAGACACGGCCCAGACUCCUACGGGAGGCAGCAGUGGGGAAUUUUGGACAAUGGGCGCAAGCCUGAUCCAGCAAUGCCGCGUGCAGGAAGAAGGCCUUCGGGUUGUAAACUGCUUUUGUACGGAACGAAACGGCUCUGGUUAAUACCCGGGGCUAAUGACGGUACCGUAAGAAUAAGCACCGGCUAACUACGUG